GGCCUACCAUGGUGGUAACGGGUAACGGGGUGUUAGGGCACGACACCGGAGAGGGAGCCUGAGAAACGGCUACCACAUCCAAGGAUGGCAGCAGGCGCGCAAAUUACCCAAUCCCGACACGGGGAGGUAGUGACAAUAAAUAACAAUACGGGGUUCUUUCGGAUCUCGUAAUUGGAAUGAGUACAAUUUAAAUCUCUUAACGAGGAACAAUUGGAGGGCAAGUCUGGUGCCAGCAGCCGCGGUAAUUCCAGCUCCAAUAGCGUAUAUUAAAGUUGUUGCAGUUAAAAAGCUCGUAGUUGAAUUUCGGGGUUAGCAGGUCGGUCGUGCCAUCGGUAUGAACUGGCCUCGCUGAUCCCUCCCUCUUGACGAACUGUGAUGCCAUUAAUUUGGUGUCGCAGGGAAUCAGGACUGUUACUUUGAAAAAAUUAGAGUGUUUAAAGCAGGCUCACGCUUGAAUACAUUAGCAUGGAAUAAUGAAAUAGGACGCUUGAUCCUAUUUUGUUGGUUUCUAGGAUUGACGUAAUGAUUAAUAGGGAUAGUUGGGGGCAUUAGUAUUCAAUUGUCAGAGGUGAAAUUCUUGGAUUUAUUGAAGACUAACUACUGCGAAAGCAUUUGCCAAGGAUGUUUUCAUUAAUCAAGAACGAAAGUUAGGGGAUCGAAGACGAUCAGAUACCGUCGUAGUCUUAACCAUAAACUAUGCCGACUAGGGAUCGGAUGAUGUUAAUUUUUUAAUGACUCAUUCGGCGCCUUACG
RNAcentral lists this ribosomal RNA (753 nucleotides) under uncultured Glomeromycotina. RNAcentral's name for it is "SSU rRNA". It matches the Rfam family "Eukaryotic small subunit ribosomal RNA", at positions 338 to 1092 of the family's 1831-position model. Lineage: Eukaryota; Fungi; Glomeromycota. The record is from RNAcentral.